Long non-coding RNA from Zophobas morio, 616 nucleotides. RefSeq lists it as uncharacterized. The transcript is spliced from 6 exons. Lineage: Eukaryota; Metazoa; Arthropoda; Insecta; Coleoptera; Tenebrionidae. The record is from RefSeq and is a predicted model, not a curated record.
ACACACUGGCGCGUUCUGUGCACCUUCUGAAGCGAUAUCAGAUGGUAUUAAUUCUUGCUUGUCUUUAAAAAAAAUUUUGGGUUUUCGUUCUGUUGAGCGCUAUACAAAUCAUUUUUUUCCAAACUUUGCAUGCGUGAAAGCGAAAAAAUUAAAAUUCCUAUAGACAAGUCCUUUGUAUGCAUAGAAUACCCUGGCAAAGUUAAUAAUGUUGAAGCUGCUUUAUUAACUUUGGGCGGCAAGGAAAAAAUUUUAAAAUGUAUACGAAGUAGUUCAGAAAAUUUGGUUUUAAAUUUUGAUAGCGACUCAAUCUCUCAAGGGGUUUCAAGUGUUUCUGAUAAAAAACUUCAAUUGUUAGUGAAGGUUUUAUAUAAUCGAAAAAGUAAGGAGUACCAAAUCUUUUUUCUGGGCGUGAUUGAAAAAUGUUAUUAUUUCGCGGACAUAUUUGAUUUCCAUCAGGCACCGAAAAAUAUAGUAGUGCCUAAAACCCCUCACCCUCUUGAUGACUCAGCCUGGCAAAUUAGGGAACUUGUGGCCCCGUAUGUAAACGCGUUUCCCUCUGCAAGCUACCUCAUCUUUCAUUCUUUUAUUUUAAUUCUCUAAUUUUUUUUAUCUUUUA